CAUUAUUGUAAGUUUAUACAUUUAUGCAGAUAUGUGUAAUUGUUCUUCAAACUUAAAGUCAAUUUUUUGAAAAACCAAAAUACUCUGGCAUCAUAAACCUUUAUUUCACUUCUGUAUGUCUUUUCUGUGUUGAUGAUUCUUAAGAAAGUCAUGGAAAAUUUCUGAAGUAGAGGUUUUGAAGAGAUGGACAUAAAAAAGGAAGCAAUCAAUUUCAUUAGAACCUGUACUUCUGUUUAUCAUUCAACAGUUGCAUAAGUGGAAAAAUGCAGUGAAUGAGUUAUCUCGUGCUAUCCAUCUUCAGCCAGAUGGAAUUCAACUAUAUAUAAUAAGGUCUCAUUGGGUUGAGUCCCAUUCAACAAGCACACAUUUAUUCAUUUUGUGAAAACCAUGACAAGGCCAUUCAGGUCUUGGAUGGGAUAUCGUGGCAUAGGUCGGAGAUGACCAUGUUUACAUUAUUAGCAAAAGCCCAAAUGAAGGCCAAGAAAAUCAAGGUGAAUACAAUUUCUGAAUAACCUUUGUUAAACCUACUAAUGAAAUUCCUAUAUCGUACUUAG
Molecule: long non-coding RNA, 554 nt
Filed under: Fukomys damarensis (Damara mole-rat)
Lineage: Eukaryota; Metazoa; Chordata; Mammalia; Rodentia; Bathyergidae
Description: lncRNA (ENSFDAG00000023507.1)
Source: RNAcentral